Molecule: ribosomal RNA, 642 nt
Filed under: uncultured Gammaproteobacteria bacterium
Lineage: Bacteria; Pseudomonadati; Pseudomonadota; Gammaproteobacteria
Description: partial 16S ribosomal RNA
Source: RNAcentral
GCAUCCAACGCGUUGGGAGCUCUCCCAUAUGGUCGACCUGCAGGCGGCCGCGAAUUCACUAGUGAUUCGUAUUACCGCGGCUGCUGGCACAGAGUUAGCCGGUGCUUAUUCUGCGGGUACCGUCAUAGCAACGAGUUAUUCGCUCGUUACCUUUCUUCCCCACCUAAAGUGCUUUACAACCCGAAGGCCUUCUUCACACACGCGGCAUCGCUGGAUCAGGGUUUCCCCCAUUGUCCAAGAUUCCCCACUGCUGCCUCCCGUAGGAGUCUGGGCCGUGUCUCAGUCCCAGUGUGGCUGGUCAUCCUCUCAGACCAGCUACGGAUCGUCGCCUUGGUAGGCUUUUACCCCACCAACUAGCUAAUCCGACGUAGGCUCACCCCAGAGCGCAAGGCCUUUCGGUCCCCUGCUUUUGAUCUCUCGAUAUCAUGUGGUAUUAGCCCGAGUUUCCUCGGGUUAUCCCACGCUCCAGGACAGAUUCCUACGUGUUACUCACCCGUCCGCCACUCGCCACCCCAUAAAGACCGAAAUCUUUACUGUGCUGCCGUUCGACUUGCAUGUGUUAGGCAUGCCCCCAGCGUUCAAUCUGAGCCAUGAUCAAACUCUAAUCGAAUUCCCGCGGCCGCCAUGGCGGCCGGGAGCAUG